Molecule: long non-coding RNA, 1547 nt
Organism: Taeniopygia guttata (zebra finch)
Lineage: Eukaryota; Metazoa; Chordata; Aves; Passeriformes; Estrildidae
Source: RefSeq, a predicted model, not a curated record
AUGUGGAGAACCAAUAGAGAAGGGUUAUGGCUGGUCCUGGGCGUGACAGAAGCUGCUUAAUUUAGAACCAUGAGAACAUCCCUGUGUGCGAGGGAUAAAUAUAGCUCCCGGUCUGAGAGGCAUCGGGUUCGGAGCGGAAAGAAGACGGAGGCAAUUGAGACAAAUUCUGUGGCUAGUAUGGAAAUAUUCUCUGCUGUCAGUCCAUUAACCUCAGGCACCAAAUCUACUUUCAGGGGAUGCUGAGGGACUGUCACUCAGCAGCAUGUGCUUCUGCCAGGAAGCCACGGAGAGGGGAGCACUGCUGGGGGGGGAUGUCCCUCCUCAGCUGCCUGCCCCCAUGCACUCUGUGCCUGGGAGGUGCUUCCACUGACUAGGAAGUGAAGUACUGAGGCGUUUUGCUUUUUUCUUAAAUUUACACCUCAGUGUUCUCACCGAGCACUGCAGAUUUUUAUUAUUCUCCCUUUUUGUACAUUGCUGAGAAUAAAUUAUAUCCUCCAGAGUUCUUUAUUCUUGUGUGAGGGCAGAUCCUGGGGUCUCGUUUUGCUUCUUCUGAGUAAUCUGUUGAAUUCUGUGGCUUGGAGUUAGGUCCCUGAUGGAGUAUUUGUUGCUAAGCUUCCUACUGGGAUGCUGAGAGGCAGACGAGUCGUUGUCAGCUGUGUGACAAGACACCCUGAUAUUGCGGCUUUGCUGCUCACCUGUGCCAGUCUGUAUACUCCCAUAUGUUUGCACAGUGCCUGAAGCUGUGUGGGUUUUGUAAGAAUGUUAACAGAAGUUCCUGAAAGCAAGGGAGAAGAAUGAGCAAUGAGAUAUAGAAAAAGUAAAGAAUAAUAUACAGACUGCUUUGAUGGAGACUUGUCCUUGGUAUUAAGUGGGCAUUAGAAGAAAAAGCAGUGACGCCUUGUUUUCCACUCCUUGUACUACAGGAACUCUGCCAUGAAGGAGCUGUAACCCUGACUGUGUACCUUACGGGUUUCCUGUUAUCAUUGUCUCCUGUCACCUCUAAAUGUCCUUUUCCAGGCUGUAUCAGAGCCAAUGUCACACCAGUUAAUGCCAUGUUCAUGUGCCUAGCUCUUUUUUACAGGUUUUUAUGAUCUUACCACUGUAACUGUUUCUUCUGCAUUAUAUACAUUCUUGAAAAAUACUUCAGUUCAUUUCAACAGAUGGCCAUAAGGGAUUUCAUAAAGAGAACAUGCCAGAUUAGGAAUACAUUUUAAAGAAUGACAGCCAAAAAUGAAGUAAUUUUUGUUGACUGAGUCCGAGCAAUCUAGACAUCUUGCAUAUUACACCUUGUCAUAAGGAACUAAAUGGAACAGAGCUGAGGAAGUAUGUUUAAGUGUAUAUGCCAUGGAGGGAUUUAAUUCUUCCAAACUCUUAAUUUUUGAUGGACUCUGAGAGGUUAGUGAAUGAUCCUUUAACUUCAUUAGCCUUGCACUUUGAACACUGGAUAAAGGUGUUUUAUUUAUUGCUUAAAUUGAAACCAUUUUUAUCUUAAGAUACUGGCAUAUUUUCCUCUGUGAAAGUAAUAAACUUUUCAUUAUGACUACCUA